Vespula pensylvanica (western yellowjacket) is the source of this 756-nucleotide RNA transcript. RefSeq lists it as uncharacterized. The transcript has 4 exons. Lineage: Eukaryota; Metazoa; Arthropoda; Insecta; Hymenoptera; Vespidae. The record is from RefSeq and is a predicted model, not a curated record.
AGAAGAGAUCGUGCAGAUUCGAUAGGCAAGUAGCCACGAGCUCGCACGGAUCCCAGCGCGAUCUUGCUCGCGAUCUGUCCAACGUAUUUGUGGAAACAAAGGGUACGAGGAGAAGAGUAAGAGAAAGAGGAGGAGCAGGAAUAAGAAAGAGAAAGAGAGAUGGCUGUUCCGAGCAAUGCGAGAUACGUUCGAUCGAACGAGAAAGGAUCAAGAAGGGAUCGAGGAACGAUCGUCGUCGUUCGUCAACGUAGGUUGCCACGAGUCUUGCUCCACAAAUCGAAGGAUUAGUUUACCCUUAGUACGAUCGGAGACGCUAGAAGGAGAUAGAUCGAUAUCAGAGAAAUCGAUGGGAGUUACGACGAUGGACGAGGAACGAAGCGAACCCAGGACGAUCUUAACAAAAUUACGGAAAAUACGUAUGAGCUGUAUCGAGAUAAUCAAACGUAUCUACCAUGAAAUUUGUCCAAGAAGAGUGAUCGGCUUCCGGUGUGACAUCAGAAAAUGUACCAGCACCCUUUUGGAAUGUAGUAUGGGACCUUGCAAAAAAGAUAUCAUGGUAUUCGAGGUCAUCGACCAAAGGAAAAUCGAUCCUAACAUAAUAUCACAGCCUUUUACGGACGAUCAUUGAUCGAUCAUAUUUAUAUGGCGAUCGUGAACUGGCUAUUCACCAAAGCAAAUCGACUUUUAUCGUUUUAUAAGAAGAUCUAAGCUAUCCUCUUCAUUCCGAACGAACGAACGCUCGUAUAUUCUUCUCGA